AUUUGAAGCAAAAUUUAAAAGUUUCAAAUAGAGAAAUGAGCGCACCAAUUUAUUUUUAUUUUGAAUUUUUUUGUAAAUAUAUUAUUUUUUAGGAAUAUCUUUUUAAAAUAUAAAUGGUUUUUAGGAUUGAUUCGGGGCAGAUCAUCGUUGGGCGGAUUCGAGGUGGAUUCGGAGCGGGUCAAAAUUUUUUCCCUUUUUUGCCCCAAUCUGUCUCGGAUUAUAAAAAUUAUUUCGUUUCUUAUCCCGAAUAUAUUUAUUUCUCUCAGUUUGCUGUCUUAUUUGAGGCGAAUCAGGGUGGGAGCUCCACCAACUU
Molecule: long non-coding RNA, 313 nt
Filed under: Ananas comosus (pineapple)
Lineage: Eukaryota; Viridiplantae; Streptophyta; Magnoliopsida; Poales; Bromeliaceae
Description: long non-coding RNA (ACOM_LNC044627)
Source: RNAcentral